GAUGAACGCUAGCGGCAGGCCUAAUACAUGCAAGUCGAGGGAGAAGUUGUCUUCGGAUGACAGGAACCGGCGAACGGGUGCGUAACACGUAUGCAAUCUGCCCCUGACUGGAGCAUAGCCCGGGGAAACUCGGAUUAAUACUCCAUAACAUUAUGAAAUGGCAUCAUUUUUAUAAUCAAAGUUCCGGCGGUCAGGGAUGAGCAUGCGGCCCAUUAGCUAGUUGGUGAGGUAAUGGCUCACCAAGGCUACGAUGGGUAGGGGGUCUGAGAGGAUGAUCCCCCANACUGGUACUGAGACACGGGACCAGACUCCUACGGGAGGCAGCAGUAGGGAAUAUUGGGCAAUGGACGAAAGUCUGACCCAGCCAUGCCGCGUGCAGGAUGACUGCCCUAUGGUUGUAAACUGCUUUUGUACGGACGAAAAGGCUUUCUCUAAUACAGGGGGCUCAUGACGGUACCGUAAGAAUAAGCACCGGCUAACUACGUGCCAGC
Molecule: ribosomal RNA, 491 nt
Filed under: uncultured bacterium
Lineage: Bacteria
Description: bacterial SSU rRNA
Rfam family: Bacterial small subunit ribosomal RNA
Source: RNAcentral